GAUGAAGAACGCAGCGAAACGCGAUAAGUAAUGUGAAUUGCAGAAUCCAGUGAAUCAUCGAAUCUUUAAACGCACAUUGCGCCCGCCAGCAUUCUGGCGGGCAUGCCUGUUCGAGCGUCAUUUCAACCCUCGACCUCCCCUUGGGGAGGUCGGCGUUGGGGACCGGCAGCACACCGCCGGCCCUGAAAUGGAGUGGCGGCCCGUCCGCGGCGACCUCUGCGCAGUAAUACAGCUCGCACCGGGACCCCGACGCGGCCACGCCGUAAAACACCCAACUUCUGAACGUUGACCUCGAAUCAGGUAGGACUACCCGCUGAACUUAAGCAUAUCAAUAAGCGGAGGA
This 343-nucleotide unclassified non-coding RNA is filed under the name soil metagenome. Its description in RNAcentral is "partial contains 5.8S ribosomal RNA, internal transcribed spacer 2, and large subunit ribosomal RNA". The stretch from base 1 to 120 matches the Rfam family "5.8S ribosomal RNA", at positions 35 to 154 of the family's 154-position model. The record is from RNAcentral.